Molecule: ribosomal RNA, 1363 nt
Filed under: unidentified marine bacterioplankton
Lineage: Bacteria
Description: bacterial SSU rRNA
Rfam family: Bacterial small subunit ribosomal RNA
Source: RNAcentral
GAGUUUGAUCAUGGCUCAGGAUGAACGCUAGCGGCAGGCUUAAUACAUGCAAGUCGAGGGGCAGCACGGGUAGCAAUAUCUGGUGGCGACCGGCGCACGGGUGCGUAACACGUAUACAAUCUACCCUUAACAGGGGGAUAGCCCUCCGAAAGGAGGAUUAAUACCCCAUAAUAAAUUGAAUGGCAUCAUUUGAUUUUGAAAGUUCCGACGGUUAAGGAUGAGUAUGCGUCUGAUUAGCUAGUUGGUGAGGUAAAGGCUCACCAAGGCAACGAUCAGUAGGGGAUCUGAGAGGACUACCCCCCACACUGGUACUGAGACACGGACCGGACUCCUACGGGAGGCAGCAGUAAGGAAUAUUGGUCAAUGGAGGCAACUCUGAACCAGCCAUGCCGCGUGCAGGAAGACGGCCCUAUGGGUUGUAAACUGCUUUUGUACGGGAGAAAACCCUUUCACGUGUGAGAGGUUGAUAGUACCGUAAGAAUAAGCAUCGGCUAACUUCGUGCCAGCAGCCGCGGUAAGACGAAGGAUGCAAGCGUUAUCCGGAUUCAUUGGGUUUAAAGGGAGCGUAGGUGGACUUGUAAGUCAGUGGUGAAAUCUCUCAGCUUAACUGAGAAACUGCCAUUGAUACUGCAGGUCUUGAGUACAGAUGAUGUGGGCGGAAUAUGACAUGUAGUGGUGAAAUACUUAGAUAUGUCAUAGAACACCGAUUGCGAAGGCAGCUCACAAAACUGUAACUGACACUGAGGCUCGAAAGUGCGGGGAUCAAACAGGAUUAGAUACCCUGGUAGUCCGCACCGUAAACGAUGAUUACCCGUUGUUAGCGAUAUGACAGUUAGCGACCAAGCGAAAGCGAUAAGUAAUCCACCUGGGGAGUACGCCGGCAACGGUGAAACUCAAAGGAAUUGACGGGGGCCCGCACAAGCGGAGGAGCAUGUGGUUUAAUUCGAUGAUACGCGAGGAACCUUACCUGGGCUUGAAAGUUAGUGACCGUCUCUGAAAGGAGAUUUUCCGCAAGGACACGAAACUAGGUGCUGCAUGGCUGUCGUCAGCUCGUGCCGUGAGGUGUUGGGUUAAGUCCCGCAACGAGCGCAACCCCUACCAUUAGUUACCAGCGAGUAAUGUCGGGAACUCUAAUGGAACUGCCCGUGCAAACGGUGAGGAAGGUGGGGAUGACGUCAAGUCAUCACGGCCCUUACGUCCAGGGCUACACACGUGCUACAAUGGCCGGUACAACGGGCAGCUACACAGCGAUGUGAUGCUAAUCUCUAAAAACCGGUCUCAGUUCGGAUUGAAGUCUGCAACUCGACUUCAUGAAGCUGGAUUCGCUAGUAAUCGCGCAUCAGCAAUGGCGCGGUGAAUACGU